UGGGGAAUAUUGCACAAUGGGCGCAAGCCUGAUGCAGCGACGCCGCGUGCGGGAUGGAGGCCUUCGGUUGUAAACCGCUUUUGUUCAAGGGCAAGGCACGGCUUCGGGCCGUGUUGAGUGGAUUGUUUC
Molecule: ribosomal RNA, 129 nt
Filed under: uncultured bacterium
Lineage: Bacteria
Description: partial 16S ribosomal RNA
Rfam family: Bacterial small subunit ribosomal RNA
Source: RNAcentral